CCUACGGGAGGCUGCAGUGAGGAAUAUUGGUCAAUGGCCGCAGGGCUGAACCAGCCAAGUCGCGUGAGGGAUGAUGGUCCUAUGGAUUGUAAACCUCUUUUGUCAGGGAGCAAAGGGCGCCACGUGUGGCGCUUUGCGAGUACCUGAAGAAAAAGCAUCGGCUAACUCCGUGCCAGCAGCCGCGGUAAUACGGAGGAUGCGAGCGUUAUCCGGAUUUAUUGGGUUUAAAGGGUGCGCAGGCGGAAUGUAAAGUCAGCGGUAAAAUUUCGGGGCUCAACCCCGUCGUGCCGUUGAAACUGGCGUUCUUGAGUGAGCGAGAAGUAUGCGGAAUGCGUGGUGUAGCGGUGAAAUGCAUAGAUAUCACGCAGAACUCCGAUUGCGAAGGCAGCAUACCGGCGCUCAACUGACGCUCAUGCACGAAAGCGUGGGUAUCGAACAGGAUUAGAUACCCUUGUAGC
RNAcentral lists this ribosomal RNA (458 nucleotides) under uncultured bacterium. RNAcentral's name for it is "partial 16S ribosomal RNA". It matches the Rfam family "Bacterial small subunit ribosomal RNA", at positions 338 to 794 of the family's 1533-position model. The record is from RNAcentral.